GGGUUGUGAGGUUAAGCGACUAAGCGUACACGGUGGAUGCCCUGGCAGUCAGAGGCGAUGAAGGACGUGCUAAUCUGCGAAAAGCGUCGGUAAGGUGAUAUGAACCGUUAUAGCCGGCGAUGUCCGAAUGGGGAAACCCAGUGCAAUUCGUUGCACUAUCGUUAACUGAAUACAUAGGUUAACGAGGCGAACCGGGGGAACUGAAACAUCUAAGUACCCCGAGGAAAAGAAAUCAACCGAGAUUCCCCCAGUAGCGGCGAGCGAACGGGGAGCAGCCCAGAGUCUGAAUCAGCUUGUGUGUUAGUGGAACGGUCUGGAAAGUCCGACGGUACAGGGUGAUAGUCCCGUACACCAAAAUGCACAGGCUGUGAACUCGAAGAGUAGGGCGGGACACGUGGUAUCCUGUCUGAAUAUGGGGGGACCAUCCUCCAAGGCUAAAUACUCCUGACUGACCGAUAGUGAACCAGUACCGUGAGGGAAAGGCGAAAAGAACCCCGGCGAGGGGAGUGAAAAAGAACCUGAAACCGUGUACGUACAAGCAGUGGGAGCACCUUUAUGGUGUGACUGCGUACCUUUUGUAUAAUGGGUCAGCGACUUAUAUUCUGUAGCAAGGUUAACCGUAUAGGGGAGCCGCAGGGAAACCGAGUCUUAACUGGGCGUUAAGUUGCAGGGUAUAGACCCGAAACCCGGUGAUCUAGCCAUGGGCAGGUUGAAGGUUGGGUAACACUAACUGGAGGACCGAACCGACUAAUGUUGAAAAAUUAGCGGAUGACUUGUGGCUGGGGGUGAAAGGCCAAUCAAACCGGGAGAUAGCUGGUUCUCCCCGAAAGCUAUUUAGGUAGCGCCUCGUGAACUCAUCUUCGGGGGUAGAGCACUGUUUCGGCUAGGGGGUCAUCCCGACUUACCAACCCGAUGCAAACUACGAAUACCGAAGAAUGUUAUCACGGGAGACACACGGCGGGUGCUAACGUCCGUCGUGAAGAGGGAAACAACCCAGACCGCCAGCUAAGGUCCCAAAGUCAUGGUUAAGUGGGAAACGAUGUGGGAAGGCACAGACAGCCAGGAUGUUGGCUUAGAAGCAGCCAUCAUUUAAAGAAAGCGUAAUAGCUCACUGGUCGAGUCGGCCUGCGCGGAAGAUGUAACGGGGCUAAACCAUGCACCGAAGCUGCGGCAGCGACGCUUAUGCGUUGUUGGGUAGGGGAGCGUUCUGUAAGCCUGCGAAGGUGGCCUGUGAGGGUUGCUGGAGGUAUCAGAAGUGCGAAUGCUGACAUAAGUAACGAUAAAGCGGGUGAAAAGCCCGCUCGCCGGAAGACCAAGGGUUCCUGUCCAACGUUAAUCGGGGCAGGGUGAGUCGACCCCUAAGGCGAGGCCGAAAGGCGUAGUCGAUGGGAAACAGGUUAAUAUUCCUGUACUUGGUGUUACUGCGAAGGGGGGACGGAGAAGGCUAUGUUAGCCGGGCGACGGUUGUCCCGGUUUAAGCAUGUAGGCUGGUUAUCCAGGCAAAUCCGGAUAAUCAAGGCUGAGGUGUGAUGACGAGGCACUACGGUGCUGAAGUAACAAAUGCCCUGCUUCCAGGAAAAGCCUCUAAGCAUCAGGUAACAUCAAAUCGUACCCCAAACCGACACAGGUGGUCAGGUAGAGAAUACCAAGGCGCUUGAGAGAACUCGGGUGAAGGAACUAGGCAAAAUGGUGCCGUAACUUCGGGAGAAGGCACGCUGGUGUGUAGGUGAAGUCCCUGCGGAUGGAGCUGAGACCAGUCGAAGAUACCAGCUGGCUGCAACUGUUUAUUAAAAACACAGCACUGUGCAAACACGAAAGUGGACGUAUACGGUGUGACGCCUGCCCGGUGCCGGAAGGUUAAUUGAUGGGGUUAUCCGUAAGGAGAAGCUCUUGAUCGAAGCCCCGGUAAACGGCGGCCGUAACUAUAACGGUCCUAAGGUAGCGAAAUUCCUUGUCGGGUAAGUUCCGACCUGCACGAAUGGCGUAAUGAUGGCCAGGCUGUCUCCACCCGAGACUCAGUGAAAUUGAACUCGCUGUGAAGAUGCAGUGUACCCGCGGCAAGACGGAAAGACCCCGUGAACCUUUACUAUAGCUUGACACUGAACAUUGAGCCUUGAUGUGUAGGAUAGGUGGGAGGCUUUGAAGCGUGGACGCCAGUCUGCGUGGAGCCAACCUUGAAAUACCACCCUUUAAUGUUUGAUGUUCUAACGUUGGCCCCUAAUCGGGGUUGCGGACAGUGUCUGGUGGGUAGUUUGACUGGGGCGGUCUCCUCCCAAAGCGUAACGGAGGAGCACGAAGGUUAGCUAAUCCUGGUCGGACAUCAGGAGGUUAGUGCAAUGGCAUAAGCUAGCUUGACUGCGAGCGUGACGGCGCGAGCAGGUGCGAAAGCAGGUCAUAGUGAUCCGGUGGUUCUGAAUGGAAGGGCCAUCGCUCAACGGAUAAAAGGUACUCCGGGGAUAACAGGCUGAUACCGCCCAAGAGUUCAUAUCGACGGCGGUGUUUGGCACCUCGAUGUCGGCUCAUCACAUCCUGGGGCUGAAGUAGGUCCCAAGGGUAUGGCUGUUCGCCAUUUAAAGUGGUACGCGAGCUGGGUUUAGAACGUCGUGAGACAGUUCGGUCCCUAUCUGCCGUGGGCGCUGGAGAAUUGAGGGGGGCUGCUCCUAGUACGAGAGGACCGGAGUGGACGCAUCACUGGUGUUCGGGUUGUCAUGCCAAUGGCACUGCCCGGUAGCUAAAUGCGGAAGAGAUAAGUGCUGAAAGCAUCUAAGCACGAAACUUGCCCCGAGAUGAGUUCUCCCUGAGACUUUAAGUCUCCUGAAGGAACGUUGAAGACGACGACGUUGAUAGGCCGGGUGUGUAAGCGCAGCGAUGCGUUGAGCUAACCGGUACUAAUGAACCGUGAGGCUUAACCUUACAACGCCGAAG
RNAcentral lists this ribosomal RNA (2925 nucleotides) under Klebsiella quasipneumoniae subsp. similipneumoniae. RNAcentral's name for it is "bacterial LSU rRNA". It matches the Rfam family "Bacterial large subunit ribosomal RNA". The record is from RNAcentral. Lineage: Bacteria; Pseudomonadati; Pseudomonadota; Gammaproteobacteria; Enterobacterales; Enterobacteriaceae.